RNAcentral lists this long non-coding RNA (656 nucleotides) under Gallus gallus (chicken). The record is from RNAcentral. Lineage: Eukaryota; Metazoa; Chordata; Aves; Galliformes; Phasianidae.
CUGCCUGCUGGAAAACCAGAAUUUCCGUUCAUGAUAUGUGGAGAGGUACACAGCAUACAUCAUCCCACUAGUGACUGCCGCAAGACAGCCAAAGAAAAGUUUCGCAAAACGCUGAAUUAACAUAUAUUUUGGCGACCUUCCCAGCUUCGAGUUUUCUUUGUGUCUCUCCUCUGGAGCCAUUUUGUCAGAUUCUGUGCAGUUUUGUUUCCUCCUCUGUCGCAGGUCUGCUGCCCCUGAGGACAUUUUGUAGGAAGUUAUUGCAACCGUAUUCCUAAAACUGCAGCCUGAGAAGCCCAUGCGGCAGCAGGUAACAGCCAGUUACUGCUACAGUGCAGCCACACAGCAAAUAGGUUUGACAAAUACACCCAGCUAAAGCAUUUCAGGUGCCCAACUGAAACAGUGUAACAAUGCACAGAUCCAUUUGUAUGCUGUUCCUUUGAAAACUCAGUGGGUUUCUCUGGAGGCCAUACUCUGGGAUUGCCCAGAGCUCAAACUGGAAGGAAAGAGGAAGAGCGGGUAAGUUGGCACUGACAGUGCGACAAACCAAUGCCACUUCCAUUCAGGUUUAACUGUAAUGACACUCCAGAAUUCCCAUCUCACUGACCUACUGCCCAACAGUGGCUACAGAACUCCAAGCAGUGCUCUCCCCUCUCAUA